This is a long non-coding RNA of Peromyscus californicus insignis, 2796 nucleotides long. RefSeq lists it as uncharacterized. Lineage: Eukaryota; Metazoa; Chordata; Mammalia; Rodentia; Cricetidae. The record is from RefSeq and is a predicted model, not a curated record. The transcript is spliced from 3 exons.
CCUUGAAGACAGCACAUAACGGUAAGUGGCUAAACAACAUAAAAGCAGAAACUUUACAACUGCCAUUUCAAAAGUUUUGUACACAAGACAGUCCAAGAAGUAAGUUUUCACACACUCUCUUCCUCCUUCUCUCCCACUUAAGACACCGAUGAACCCAUAAUAAACUUCUCUCUGAAACUCACCCUCCAUGGUUUGUAAACUUCAUCCUUUGAAUUCACAAGACAAGAACCCGAAUGCCACUCGCUUGGAGUAACUUUAGUGGAUGACAACUUUCCAGUAUCCUAGCUCCCCCCAAAACCAAGCUCACCAAGGGACUGGAAAGGCUCUGUCAUUCUCAAAAAUAACCUCAAUAGUUCCCUAUUGGUGGGGGUGUGCAGGGAAAGUGGGGAUUUAAUUCCCUCCAGCAAUCUUGAUGUUUGCACACCAGUGCAUAAUGAUAUUAUCAAUCCUCACGCAAACUACCGGCAGGAACGGUUCGCCGCGAACCUGCUGGGAAUUUGCACCUGGAGGCUUGGUUUUCUUCAUCAAAGACCCAAGUGAAGAACUCAAAGGGACCUACAGCUUGAGGGACGCCACUGUGGCCUGGGGCACUCACCAACUAGAACAGAGAGUUCUAGAAGGUCAAGGAAAUCUGAGCCAGGGUAUGUUAACCUCAGCCAACGAGAAGAAGAUGGCCCUUCUCAUCUCUAGCCAGCCAAGAGCUUCAUCAGUCAAGGUACCUUGUUGGGGGAGUGGAGGGGGGCGCAUGUGCAAUCGCAGCAUAGGUGUGGAGGUCAGAGGACAACCUGUAGGGGUCGGUUCUCUCCUUCUACCAUAUGGGUCUUGGGGGUCAAACUCAGGUCACUAGGCCUGGCAGCAAGUGUCCUUAUCCUCUGAGUCACCUUUCCAGCUCACCAAUCAACAUUAGAAGCUGAAUUUUAUAAAUUAUAUCAUCAUAGGAGAGAGGAAAUUGACAUGAAGAUUUAAAAUUAUCCUUUUUUUUUUUUCUUUCUCUCUUUCUUUAGGAACCCUAUUCGAGGGCUGGGGAGAUGGUUCAGGCUGUAAAAGGCUUGCUAUGCAAGCAUCAGGACCUGGGUUUGGAUGCUCAGCAUAUGAGAAACCAGGGGCUGUGCUACACCUGUGGUCCCAGGGCUAAAGAGGUCGAGACAGGAGGAUCCCCAGAGCUCAGCUAGUUUAGCCUAGUCAAUAGACGAGCUCUCGGUUCCGUGGGAGAUCCAGUCUCCAAAAUACAUUGCAAAGGAGCAAUUGAGAAGCCGGGCAGCAGUGGCGUACGCCUUUAAUCCCAGCACCAGGGAGGCAGAACCAGACGCAUCUCUACAGAGAGAAAUCCAGGACAGGCAUCAAAACUACACAGAGAAAGCCUGUCUCGAAAAACCAAAGUAAAUAAAUAAAUAAAUAAAAGAAGCAAUUGAGGAAGACACCAGACGUGGACCUCUGGUCUCCCCACACAUGUGUAUCCACAUGCAAAAACACAUGUGUAUCACACAGGAAUCCUAUUUAUUGUGAAAAGAAUAAGAACGUGAAAUGGAGAGUUAGAUAUGCCCAAAUAACUGUCCACGUUAAAACUGCUGUUAGAAGAACGAUGUGAAUUUUUUUUUCAGUCUUGAUUAAAGUAUUUUUUAAGUUUUGAUUAAAGUGUUUUUAAAACAUUGAAAAUAACAAUAUAUCUCCGAAAAUAAUGAGUUUCCUCCUGUUAGCUGUUGAAUUGUUUACUCCCAUAACUGAAUAAUAACAACACAUCAAAGCCAGCGGUGGUAAUUAAAUGAUUUGUGAACAUAGGUUAACAAAUUAGUGUGUCAUGAUGUAUAAUUGUCUAAUUAAGAUAAAAAUGCUAGUCCUGCCUAAAAGACUGACAAGAUAGCUAAAUAAGGAAAAAUAGGUAAGGAAGAAAAAGCACUAUGCAAUGAAUUAGAAUGUAUAUAGUAAUGUUGUUUUUCUACCUAUUACUAUAGGGAAGUUACAAAUGCCUUCUAGACCUGAUUUGUCCAAGUCAUAUGCUUCAAGAAUAUCCAGUUCAGGCAGAAACAACCAACCAGGGUCUCACAUAGCCCAGGCUCACUGUGUAGCCAAGAACUCCUGCCCUCACCUCCCAAGGAAGAGGACGUCCGUCAUCACACCUGGCUUAUUUGCAGUGUUAGACAUUGAAGCCAGGCUUUCCUGCAUGCUAGAAUGCUGGAAUUACAGAUAAGCACCGCCAUACCUGGUGGGACCAGAGGCUUCCAGGAGUGAAACAGAAUCCCCCAUAGGAAAAAGGUUCCCGUCACCAGGACUGUCUCAGGAGGUGCCAUCUCUUAGGGUCCUACUGGAGACAAGUUUCCAGUGCAGGAGGGACCAGACCAGGUAACUUGUGAGGUGUCUGUGUGUUCUGUGACCCUAGAGUUCAUAGGAUUCUGACUGGAUCAGCCCCUAACACCAUCCAGCCGAGUCUCAGCCCUCUCACGCUACUAAGCAUCGUCCUUUCAAAAGCCACCACCAUCCUGACUGCCCAACAUGUGCCGAUCUCAGAUUGCUUUCCUGUUGCUUGGUGCAGAAUGAAGCCAAGUGGUGUUUGUACCAGUGCUUCUGUGGGAUCCAAAGGCUGUAAUAAUACACCUCAGGUCUUUGAAAAGAACAUGUGGCUUCAUAGCUAGUUCAUGGCAAAAGAGGAGCGCAUUGGCACAUGUAGGAACUGUAUUAACUAAGUAAAAAGAGCUCAGUGGUGGAACGCUUGCCUGACACUACAAUGCUCUGGGUUUAAAGCCAGUAUUCCCCACCCCACCGAAAAGAUAGUCCAUCAUCCAUUCCUCCUAAUAAGCG